GAUGAACGCUGGCGGCGUGCCUAAUACAUGCAAGUCGAGCGAACAGACGAGGAGCUUGCUCCUCUGACGUUAGCGGCGGACGGGUGAGUAACACGUGGAUAACCUACCUAUAAGACUGGGAUAACUUCGGGAAACCGGAGCUAAUACCGGAUAAUAUAUUGAACCGCAUGGUUCAAUAGUGAAAGACGGUUUUGCUGUCACUUAUAGAUGGAUCCGCGCCGCAUUAGCUAGUUGGUAAGGUAACGGCUUACCAAGGCAACGAUGCGUAGCCGACCUGAGAGGGUGAUCGGCCACACUGGAACUGAGACACGGUCCAGACUCCUACGGAGGGCAGCAGUAGGAAAUCUUCCGCAAUGGGCGAAGGCUUGACGAGGCAACGCGGCGUGGGUGAUGAAGGUCUUCGGAUCGUAAAACUCUGUUAUUAGGGAAGAACAAAUGUGUAAGUAACUAUGCACGUCUUGACGGUACCUAAUCAGAAAGCACGGCUAACUACGUG
Molecule: ribosomal RNA, 496 nt
Filed under: uncultured bacterium
Lineage: Bacteria
Description: partial 16S ribosomal RNA
Rfam family: Bacterial small subunit ribosomal RNA
Source: RNAcentral